This is a long non-coding RNA of Motacilla alba alba, 2996 nucleotides long. RefSeq lists it as uncharacterized. The record is from RefSeq and is a predicted model, not a curated record. The transcript has 3 exons. NCBI's taxonomy places the organism in Eukaryota, Metazoa, Chordata, Aves, Passeriformes, Motacillidae.
GAAAUUAAAUAAUUAUUUUAAAAUAGCACUGCUGUCCUUUCAAGCACUUUCAGUUAUUACCACUUAUUUUGACUGACUUGUUUGUUUAAUUUGCAGCUUCUGUGCAUCUUCUGUGCAGUCUGGUCAGUCUGUGGAAACUGCCAGGUUACUUCUGUUUCUUCAUCUGCUCCAAGGGAGGUGUUUCUGAGUCAGCAAAGGGAACCCAGCACAUUUUCCAGCUUCUAGGAGGGAAGGCUCAGGAGAAAGACAGGCAACCACUGAUGAGCCAGUAACAGCAAACAGAAAGGGGGAAGAGCCAAGUGGAGCAGCUUGGAGGGAAGGCCCAGGUGGACACCAGGGGGAAGAGCUGAGCGCUCUCACUCUGGCAGUGGGGUCUACGCUGGAGGCAUUAUGUCAUGAGAAAUAUCAGAGAUAAGAAGUCCUGAAAAACCAUAAUUUAUGUGCAAGCUGACAUGUUUCAACAGCAUGGACAGAGAUGAAAAGGGUGUGGGGUUUUUUGGGGUUUUUUUGUUGUUGUUGUUGUGUUGGCAUUUAGGGUUAUUAUUUUUUAAAAUUUUAAACAGAAUUUGGAAACAGAUGAGUGCUUAACCUCUUGAGACCAAACAUGUUAAUGUGAAGGAGCAAACUUGUGUGUUUGUUGCCCAUUUCCUGACUGCAAGCCAAAAAUAUUUUGACAUCACUAGUUAAAGUUUGAUAAAAGGUAAUUGUUGGCAUAGAAACACCCAAGAUGUUUGCCAUAUUGGCUGCCUUUCAGUCCAUCCCUCUGAAUAUUGCAGUGCUUUCCAUUCAGACAUUUGAGACCAUUUCAAGACUGCUUAAAGCAACCUGUCAAAGUUUCCUGCCGCUGUAUGGGCACUGGCUCCAUCAAUCCCAGAAUAUUUAUUGCUGGGGCUGUCAUUUUCUUCUUAGAAAAAUAAUUCAAUACUCAGACUGUAUCUUCUGCACACAUUCAAGUGAGAAAAGAAAUAAAAAAGGGGGAAAAACGAAAGAAAGUCUUGCAAUAGUUCAUUUUCAGCUGGUGUUUUGUGUUUGUGCAUGUUGCAGCAGCUGUAGACUCUGAACAGUGGAGUGACUCUUGAUUUAGUCUGGGACAGGAUUUUCCUCAUUCUCCCACUGCUUCCUGAGCUCAGCAUGUCCCAAUGUUGUUUGGGAGAGAUACAGAGUCAGCUGGCUGCUUUUCCAGGCACCAUUACUCUCCCCAUGCCUCUCCCUGCAGACAGCAACUUCUGUGUGAUAAGGCUAAGUUUUCAGCUCUGAACAUUCAUCAAAACACACCAUUCCUCUAGUAAGAGCAUUAAACUGAGAUCUCUGAUGCAUGGCCAAUUUGUCUCCUGCACAAUGUUCCUCUCAGUUUGCAGCUUUAAUGCAGCAGGGUUGGAAAUAAUCAGGCUUUGAACCUGGACUGUGUGGCUGAGUGCACAGAGCAGGAAGCAGAAGGUUUGACAAUUGCAUCAUUAUCUGUGCCAUGCAGGCAGAGCAGCCCACCAGAGAGCUCUGUGUCACAAAUGUAGUGGUGGAAACAGGAGUCAGUCCUCUCUCUCCCCAUCGAGAAUUCAGGGCAGUGGACUGGACAACAGCAUGUUCAGGGCUGCAUUGUUCAGCUUCUGAGUUUUUUUGGGGUUUUUUUUUGGUUUUCUUUUUUAUUUUUUUCUGCCUUUGUAACUUAUCCCUCCCUCUUCUCUACAGCAUCCUCGAGGCUGAUGUGCUGCUGGUAGAACCAGACACUCAUAUUCAUCCCAAAUCUAUUUUGCUUUUUUUGCCAGCUCUGUUUCCCAGUUCAAACUGGCCAGAGGAGCAGUGAUUCUAACCAGGCCAAGGUGCAUGUUAGGAAGUGAGAACAGGAGACUGUGAGCUCUUACCAGCAACAAGAAAAUGCUGCAGACAGCUUAGCAGCCAUCAGGACUGGAGAUGGAUAGGGGCAGAAUGCUGUACUAACUGUGUGAAGAAAUAGUGCAGCAGCAGGGAACAGUCAAAGAGGAGGAAAUACCAAGUGACUUCUUUGGUAAUGAUACCCACUGCUUUAAAGCAACAGCCAUUGUACCCCUGGAUUGUGGUGCUGCUUCUUUGAAAAAUGAGCAUGUUCAGUAUUUAUUCUUUUUUACCUCUCCUAAAGCCUUCUCUUCCUUCUUCUUCACUCCUCCUUGUACUCACUUCAGGGGUGGUGCCAAAAACAAGUGUCUGCUCUGCAGCAUGGAGCUUAGUUUGCUCACUUCAGCUUUAAAACUCUUUGCUUUUCUGUUCACAAACACUUCUUUGUCAUCUGAUCCCUGCCCGCCAGCCUUUUUUAUUUUUAAUAUAUUUCAUACUUUUUGUUGUUGUACCUUGUAACUUCUUCCUAUUCUUCAUCUGCCUUUUCCAAUUUCUUCCUUUUUUGUUUUAACUCAAGAGUUUGUAUUUAUAAUUUUUUCAUGGUACUAUUGAAAUAUGGCUAAACGUGUCUUCUUGAACUUGGCUUUCCUAAUGGACUGACUUUCCCCUCUGAAACAUUAGUCUUGCAGGAUGAUUUUUGUGAGCUGGCUGCCCACACAAGUCUGCUGCCAUGUGGGCUGUAGAGUCAGCUUGUCUGAAGCCUUUCUCAGUAAUUACCAGUUAAUAAAAGUUAACUGCCCCAUAAAACCACAUGGAUGAACCAUGCUAUUGCUGGCUUGCCCUACUCAGCCAUCCUCUUCCUGUAUGCUAGAUCUUUUGGACAGGAGAAAGGACUACCCAGGGUCCCUUGUGGCUCUCUUCUCUGUGUUUCUGAUAACUGGUGACCUGGCUACGGGCUGCCAAGCCCGUAGAGAGAAGCACAUCUCAAACUAGGAGCCUGAAGCAGUGAAUCUAAGAAGUUCCUAUUUUAUAUGUCAGGAGGGGGAAGAAAAGAAGUUAAGGCACUCCAAAGUUAUUCUCCAAUGCUUAACUGUUUUCUAGACACCUUGAGAAAUGUUUCAGAGUAAUUCUUCAAAGCUUAUCUAUUUCAGCACUAAAUUAGCUGCUGCAGAGUGAAGGUGUCUCAC